UGCCUCGUGGUCUAAGGGUAACGACGUCGGUAUUCUCUGAAUUCUUAUUCAUGGCCGGAGGUCGCGGGUUCGAGUCUCACCGGGGUAG
Molecule: non-coding RNA, 88 nt
Organism: Mycena rebaudengoi
Lineage: Eukaryota; Fungi; Basidiomycota; Agaricomycetes; Agaricales; Mycenaceae
Source: the annotation of a GenBank genome assembly